This 263-nucleotide unclassified non-coding RNA is filed under the name Gongylonema pulchrum. RNAcentral describes it as "ITS2". Lineage: Eukaryota; Metazoa; Nematoda; Chromadorea; Rhabditida; Gongylonematidae. The record is from RNAcentral.
CAAACAAAAAGAAUCUAUCUCAGAUUGAAUAUGAAAAACCAUCGUCAGGUAAUGUGAUGGUUGUAUUGCUGCUGCUGCUGCUUGCUGCUGCUGCUGCUGCUGCUGCUGCUGCUGCUAUAUUUCCCUGAUCAGUUUUUGCUAUUAUAAUGUUGUACGGGGCAACAACAAUUCAAAUAGCAACUAUUAAUUUCUACUACUACAACAAAGAAAGAAAAUUUACAUGUAUGUAGUAGAGAAAAGAAUGUGGUGCGCAUUAUUAAUUU